AUUGAACGCUGGCGGCAGGCCUAACACAUGCAAGUCGAACGGUAACAGAAAGCAGCUUGCUGCUUUGCUGACGAGUGGCGGACGGGUGAGUAAUGUCUGGGAAACUGCCUGAUGGAGGGGGAUAACUACUGGAAACGGUAGCUAAUACCGCAUAACGUCGCAAGACCAAAGAGGGGGACCUUCGGGCCUCUUGCCAUCGGAUGUGCCCAGAUGGGAUUAGCUUGUUGGUGGGGUAACGGCUCACCAAGGCGACGAUCCCUAGCUGGUCUGAGAGGAUGACCAGCCACACUGGAACUGAGACACGGUCCAGACUCCUACGGGAGGCAGCAGUGGGGAAUAUUGCACAAUGGGCGCAAGCCUGAUGCAGCCAUGCCGCGUGUAUGAAGAAGGCCUUCGGGUUGUAAAGUACUUUCAGCGGGGAGGAAGGGAGUAAAGUUAAUACCUUUGCUCAUUGACGUUACCCGCAGAAGAAGCACCGGCUAGCUCCGUG
RNAcentral lists this ribosomal RNA (490 nucleotides) under uncultured bacterium. RNAcentral describes it as "partial 16S ribosomal RNA". It matches the Rfam family "Bacterial small subunit ribosomal RNA", at positions 30 to 507 of the family's 1533-position model. The record is from RNAcentral.